CCGGCUGGGGGAGCCCCACUCACCUCCCCACUCUCUGGGGGCUGCCCGGCUCUGCUGUGGCGGAGACACACAAUCGGGACAAAGGCACAGCCCCCAGGGGGCUAACUCAGCCUUCACGCCCAGGUUGUGCGGCAUUUGGGGAGUUUAAUGAAUUGUCCAUCACGCCUUUCAGGGCCCGCCCGUCAGCCUGGAUUAAUCUUCGGAGCCCUGGUGGGGUAGGAGACACUAAGCCUGUAUUUAUUACUCUCCCAUUGUCACUAAUUGAGGUAAUUAUCUGUGACUCUGGCCUGGCCAACAAUGAGGCAUUCACUCCUGGGACCUCGAUGGGCCUGGCUCCCACUCUCAGCACCAGCCCUCCCUCCCCUCCUCUUCCAAACCCGCCAAGGACUACGAUGGGCCCUGGAGCAUGUUGGGAAAGUGGACAGCGUCCCACAAUGCCUCACCUCCCCACCGGCGUCUCCCAUAGCCAUCACUACAGAGCUGUCUCCUGGUCCCCCCAGAGAAGGCACCGUCAAGUGAAUGGAUGAAUACAGAUGAAGCCGGCACUUGCUUUAAAACUGGGAUCUGUGAGCUAUUCUCUUCCACAGCUGCACUCAGGCUCCUCAUUCUCUCAGGACUUGCUGGAAGGAGAUGUCUAGACCAUCCCUGGACGGUCAGCGGUGGGCACUUCACCAGCUGUUGACACGACAGACCCUGGCCGAACUCAGAGCGCAUUUUCUGAGAGCCUGCUCCACGCCAAACUUGUCGGGUAUACAGAGCUAAAUCAGCUAAAUCACCUCCAGCAGCUCAUGGUCCAGCAGGGGAUUCCACAAGGUAACAAGACCAACGAGGUUACGAUCAAGCCGCAGGAAAAAAAAUUAUCCAGGUGUUGAGGAGGCACUAGAACAUUCCCAGCUCAAAAACUCCAUCAUUCACCUCUCCCUCAAUUCCUCUCACCGAAGUGCAAAUGGUUUAUCUUCAUUACCAAGAAACAGUCUGGGCAUGGUGGCUCACAGCUGUAAUCUCAGCACUUUGGGAGGCCGAGGCGGGCGGAUCACUUGAGAUCAGGAGUUCGAGACCAGCCUGGCCAACAUGGUGAAACCCGUCUCUACUAAAAAUACAAAUAAAAAAUUAGCCAAGAGUUAUGGCGCCCACCUGUAAUCCCAGCUACUCUGGAGGCUGAGGCAGGAGAAUCGCUUGAACCCAGGAACUGGAGCAGAGAUCACACCACUGCACUCUAGUCUGGGUGACAGAGUGAGACUCCAUAUCAAAAAAAAAAAAAAAAAAAAACCCAAAAAGCAAAAAAGACAAGAAAUACUUCAAGUUCUGGCUCCCACACAUCUUUCCAGGACUCACUCUUCUGCCCCACUGCAUUCCCUAAUGCCUCUGCUCCCUGUGAAAGCCACGUGUUUUCCUACCUCUCUGCAUUUUCCCACCUCUCUGCAUUUUCCCACAUCCUAGAAUGUCCCCCUUCCCUGUAUCCCACUGUUGGAACCCAUCUCAGAUGUUCCUUCCUCCAUGAAGACUCUUCUGAUUUCCCUUGGUAGAGUGGUCUUGCCUGUUCUAGCUCCUGAAGCACCAUGUAGGUAGGUGCUUUCAUUAGCAGCACAUACUGGGUGUCCCAUUGGUGGUUGUCUGUGUAUAUUACUCAUCCUCCUACUAGGCUAGCCCUUGCAGCACUGACCUGGGCAUAUCAUAUGCCUUUGUUAAAUGGUGAAUAGACGGAUACAUGAAUAAAUGGAUGCACGGACAGAGGAAUAAAUCGAUGGAAGUAUAAAUGGGGC
This 1763-nucleotide long non-coding RNA is filed under the name Homo sapiens (human). Its description in RNAcentral is "HSALNT0188662". Lineage: Eukaryota; Metazoa; Chordata; Mammalia; Primates; Hominidae. The record is from RNAcentral.